This is a long non-coding RNA of Myotis lucifugus (little brown bat), 772 nucleotides long. RefSeq lists it as uncharacterized. The transcript is spliced from 2 exons. Lineage: Eukaryota; Metazoa; Chordata; Mammalia; Chiroptera; Vespertilionidae. The record is from RefSeq and is a predicted model, not a curated record.
AGAGGCGCGGCGAGUGAUCUCCUCAGUUUAAUCUAGGUUUAUGGACCACACCUGACUCCUUCCUUCCCUCCUUCUGCCUCCCGUAAGGAAGAUAUCAAAAUCUCGCCGGUGUUGUUUCAUAUUUUUUAUUCCUUCAAAUGUAUUGUUUGUCAGGAGUGACUGAAAUAAAAAUAUAAUAAGAGUCCAUCAUCAUCAUGGGAAUGGCUUUAAAAGAAAACUCGUCAGAGGAAUAUUACUGCUUCCCAUUGUCAACCAGUAAAUAGUUGCAAUUGAAUUUCUUUGACUUGGUUUCAUCCUUUGUAAACUGUAGAAAGAAUAUUAUGUGCCUUGUAGGAUUUUUAUAGAAGUAAAUAAAUUUAAAAUUCUUAGAACUGUUAGGUCGAAAGGGGGUCCAGGAGCUGAUGCAUGCCUCCGCCAGACGGAUGGUGAUGUAGAUACUGGGCCCUUCCUAGAAUCCGUAACAGGCCAGUGCACCAGGUGGAUGGUGACGCAGAUACCGGUCCCGCCCUGGAAUUCCUAACAGGUCAGCUACCUGGAAUUCCUAACAGGUCAGCUACCUGGAAUUCCUAACAGGUCAGCUACCAGACAGAUGACGACACCUGGAAACCGGGACGACCCCCGCGGCACGAACUCCCACAGCUCAUGCUCCCCCGCCCUCACUGAACAGCUGUGUAAAAAAAUGCCCCUACUCCCUCUCGGCGCGACUCCACUGGCCCAACCCCAGGACCUGUGGACCUCGCCCGAGAGCGCAGAAUAAAUUCUCCUCCUUCAA